RNAcentral lists this ribosomal RNA (326 nucleotides) under uncultured eukaryote. Its description in RNAcentral is "partial 18S ribosomal RNA". It matches the Rfam family "Eukaryotic small subunit ribosomal RNA", at positions 1470 to 1796 of the family's 1831-position model. The record is from RNAcentral.
CCCUUAGAUGUUCUGGGCCGCACGCGCGCUACACUGAUGCAUUCAACGAGCCUAGCCUUGACCGAGAGGUCCGGGUAAUCUUUGAAACUGCAUCGUGAUGGGGCUAGAUUAUUGCAAUUAUUAAUCUUCAACGAGGAAUGCCUAGUAAGCGUGAUUCAUCAAAUCGCGUUGAUUACGUCCCUGCCCUUUGUACACACCGCCCGUCGCUCCUACCGAUUGAGUGUGUUGGAGAGGAGUUUGGAUUGGCCUCGGAAGGUGGUUCGCCACCGUCCGUAGCUGAGAAGUUCUCCAAACCGCCCCACUUAGAGGAAGGAGAAGUCGUAACA